RNAcentral lists this ribosomal RNA (1346 nucleotides) under Escherichia coli. RNAcentral's name for it is "partial 23S ribosomal RNA". It matches the Rfam family "Bacterial large subunit ribosomal RNA", at positions 180 to 1568 of the family's 2925-position model. The record is from RNAcentral. Lineage: Bacteria; Pseudomonadati; Pseudomonadota; Gammaproteobacteria; Enterobacterales; Enterobacteriaceae.
CGAACCGGGGGAACUGAAACAUCUAAGUACCCCGAGGAAAAGAAAUCAACCGAGAUUCCCCCAGUAGCGGCGAGCGAACGGGGAGCAGCCCAGAGCCUGAAUCAGUAUGUGUGUUAGUGGAAGCGUCUGGAAAGGCGCGCGAUACAGGGUGACAGCCCCGUACACAAAAAUGCACAUGCUGUGAGCUCGAUGAGUAGGGCGGGACACGUGGUAUCCUGUCUGAAUAUGGGGGGACCAUCCUCCAAGGCUAAAUACUCCUGACUGACCGAUAGUGAACCAGUACCGUGAGGGAAAGGCGAAAAGAACCCCGGCGAGGGGAGUGAAAAAGAACCUGAAACCGUGUACGUACAAGCAGUGGGAGCACGCUUAGGCGUGUGACUGCGUACCUUUUGUAUAAUGGGUCAGCGACUUAUAUUCUGUAGCAAGGUUAACCGAAUAGGGGAGCCGAAGGGAAACCGAGUCUUAACUGGGCGUUAAGUUGCAGGGUAUAGACCCGAAACCCGGUGAUCUAGCCAUGGGCAGGUUGAAGGUUGGGUAACACUAACUGGAGGACCGAACCGACUAAUGUUGAAAAAUUAGCGGAUGACUUGUGGCUGGGGGUGAAAGGCCAAUCAAACCGGGAGAUAGCUGGUUCUCCCCGAAAGCUAUUUAGGUAGCGCCUCGUGAAUUCAUCUCCGGGGGUAGAGCACUGUUUCGGCAAGGGGGUCAUCCCGACUUACCAACCCGAUGCAAACUGCGAAUACCGGAGAAUGUUAUCACGGGAGACACACGGCGGGUGCUAACGUCCGUCGUGAAGAGGGAAACAACCCAGACCGCCAGCUAAGGUCCCAAAGUCAUGGUUAAGUGGGAAACGAUGUGGGAAGGCCCAGACAGCCAGGAUGUUGGCUUAGAAGCAGCCAUCAUUUAAAGAAAGCGUAAUAGCUCACUGGUCGAGUCGGCCUGCGCGGAAGAUGUAACGGGGCUAAACCAUGCACCGAAGCUGCGGCAGCGACGCUGAUGCGUUGUUGGGUAGGGGAGCGUUCUGUAAGCCUGCGAAGGUGUGCUGUGAGGCAUGCUGGAGGUAUCAGAAGUGCGAAUGCUGACAUAAGUAACGAUAAAGCGGGUGAAAAGCCCGCUCGCCGGAAGACCAAGGGUUCCUGUCCAACGUUAAUCGGGGCAGGGUGAGUCGACCCCUAAGGCGAGGCCGAAAGGCGUAGUCGAUGGGAAACAGGUUAAUAUUCCUGUACUUGGUGUUACUGCGAAGGGGGGACGGAGAAGGCUAUGUUGGCCGGGCGACGGUUGUCCCGGUUUAAGCGUGUAGGCUGGUUUUCCAGGCAAAUCCGGAAAAUCAAGGCUGAGGCGUGAUG